UACCUAUAAGACUGGGAUAACUUCGGGAAACCGGAGCUAAUACCGGAUAACAUAUUGAACCGCAUGGUUCAAUAGUGAAAGGCGGCUUUGCUGUCACUUAUAGAUGGAUCCGCGCCGUAUUAGCUAGUUGGUAAGGUAACGGCUUACCAAGGCAACGAUACGUAGCCGACCUGAGGAGGGUGAUCGGCCACACUGGAACUGAGACACCGGUCCAG
RNAcentral lists this ribosomal RNA (215 nucleotides) under uncultured Staphylococcus sp. Its description in RNAcentral is "partial 16S ribosomal RNA". It matches the Rfam family "Bacterial small subunit ribosomal RNA", at positions 127 to 334 of the family's 1533-position model. Lineage: Bacteria; Bacillati; Bacillota; Bacilli; Caryophanales; Staphylococcaceae. The record is from RNAcentral.